Long non-coding RNA from Syngnathoides biaculeatus (alligator pipefish), 2624 nucleotides. RefSeq lists it as uncharacterized. Lineage: Eukaryota; Metazoa; Chordata; Actinopteri; Syngnathiformes; Syngnathidae. The record is from RefSeq and is a predicted model, not a curated record. The transcript has 3 exons.
UGCCCGAGACUUGUUGUGCUGUUAGUUGUCACAAAAGACAAGACAGUUCUUCAAAGAAAUUAUUCAAGAGAUUACCAGCUGAAAAGACCAGAAAAGAUCUAUGGAUUUCAGCAAUUAAACGUGAUGGAUGAUGCGAAAUGCACACGCCUGUGUAGCAAUCACUUCAUUUCAGAUCUCUCCUUCAGAAAUGCUAACGGGCAACCUGCUGUGCUUUGACCUUGGUGGGAGCAGGUCAUAACUGAGGUAAAGAUCAGGUUGAUGCAAGGAAACCAGAGUGCCCGGAGAAAACCCACGCAGGCACGGGGAGAAUGUGCAAACUCCACACAGGCGAGUCCGGGAUUGAGCCUGGGACCUCAGAACUGUGUGGCCAACGCUUUCCAGCUGAGCCCACCUUGCUGCUCCUGACUGAACCAACACCUGAUAAUAAAGUUGCUGAUAAUCAACUUUUUGUAGUGUUUGUCAAUGUUCCCUCAAAUUUUGUAUAUCUGAGUAGUCCCUUUAACCACUGUGAGCAACAUCAGAUGUGUGCACUGUGGUCAGGGCAGUGUCAUCCAUUGAAGUUGCAUGUCUUAUUAAAAGAAUGAAAUUACAGCAUUUACAUUGCCAUCAAUUCGGAACAAUUACAUAAAAAAAUACAUUGCUGACCAAACCAAGCCAGCUCUAAACUAGGAAAUAUAAAUGUCCAAAUUUGUUCCUAGUUUAUUUCAUUUAUUUAUUAUUUACAAUGAUAUCCCCGUGGGUUUUUUUUUUGUGUCAAACUGAAUUAUUGCUUGCAUAAUAUAUUUUGCAGUCCAUGCUGACAGCUGAAUGAUGCUCCAAAACACUUAUAUGGUGAACAUUAUUUUGCUCCCUGAAUUUAAGAUACAGAACAAGCGUUUUGUGGAGUGCAUUGUCUGUGCUUUCAUCCUUGAUGAAUGUGUGCUGAGAUGGAUUUUUAACAUUACACACAGUCUUAUCAUGCACAAUUUGAUUGAUUGAAUUAAAAAAAAUCAAAUCCUUAACUUUUGAUUGUGACUUCAGCUUUCUGGCAUACUCACAUACUUUUCCAUGUGAUAGUGAAUUUGUUGAACUGAAAGCAGUGUUGUAUUUCUGUUGAUGGCUAGGAGAAUUUUGAAAAUGAGAAUUUGAACAUGCUCUCGGUUCGAUUCGUUUCCCAGUGCGAGCUUCUUCCUUUUCUCUGUCUUUUACGCUUUCUCGCAAAAAAGUACCGAUCCUGACUCCCAUCCAAUUCCCAGUCCACAUCAGAACUGUGAGGCAGAUGCUCUAACCAGUCGUUCUACCCCACCACCUCCAUUCUAAAUCAAUACAGUAUUCUUUAAUAUCUUGUUGUUCUACCCUUUUCACCUGUAACAGCUUCAACUCUUCUGGAAAGUCUUUCAACAAGGUUUAGCAGUGAAUUUACGGGGAUUGUUUUGUGAUUCUUCCGGGAGCACAUUUGUGUGCAGACUGAUGUUCAGUGAGUAGGUCAGGCUCCUGUCCAAUGAAAAUCAAUCCAAAGGUGUUCGCUUGGGUAGAGGACAGAUUCUGCGAAGACAUCCAUACCAAAUUCUUUCAUUCAUGUCUUGAAAAUGACAUAAAUUACUGAUCUUUCUUAGAUAUGAACCUAAACACAACAUUUGUUAGACCUGGCUAAUCACUGCCACUUAAAAAGAGCUACAGCUGACUUAAUGGAAGCUGCUAAAUAUCGUACGCUGGCAGUAAAAUUCCAGCUGCCUUAAACCAAUUUCGUUUGAUGGUCAGUUCGCCCUGGCUUGAUGAACUUCCUCAUUUGAGUUGCUCAUGUUUAUAUUGCAUUCGUUUGAGUGCACUGUGUUGAUACAUUUGGUAAGAUAAAACAAGGGGAAUGCUUUAAUCUACCGUACUUCAAAGAGGUGCCCAAGUCAUUGGCAAAGGCAAAGGUGCAUUUAAGCAAAGCAAAGCAAAUUAAUUUGUAUUGCACAUUCAUAUACAAGGUAACUUUACAUGAUUAAAGGCAUUCAAAUACAUAAAUAAAAACUUGAAAAAGUACAAUUAAAACAACUUUUAGUGCAAGAAAUAGCACUGAAAAGUGGACGUACUUUAAAAAGCUUGAGAAGAAAGUUUUUGAUGUGGAUUUGAAAAUACUCAAACUUGGGGAUGACGCUACCUCUAUUGGAAAUUUACUGCAUUUUCUUUUUUUUUUUGCUGCAUAAUAGCUAAAUGCUGCUUCACCAUAUUUGCUUUGGACUCUGCACUUAAUUCGGCAUAAAAAAAAAAAGCUUGUGGUCAUGAUUUUUAGACUGACCCUCAAAAUUCCCGCCAACACUAACAUUUUUAUGCCACGUAAUAAAUCUGUCAGUGGCUUGAUUUUCCAUGAUCCCGUGCGGAGUGUAGCUAGCUGUGAAUCCGGGUUGCACUCUGAUGUUGUUUAUUUUAUUUACUGUAAGCCUUGUUUUUCAUGCCACUUGGUGCCGGAUCGUUGUGUGUGUAUAUGCAUGUGUGUUCAUGAGCGUCAGCUAGCGUUACUGCCCUGUCCCAAGUCAGAGUGUGACUGAGCCGUAUUAUGUCAAGUUACGUUAUCAUGCUUUGCCAUGUCCAAUUUUUGACAUUGUUUCAUGUUUUUUGGACCAAGCUUUUUGCCUUGUGAUUUUUGUACCAUCGUCCUG